GGAGUUAGCCGGUGCUUCUUCUGUGAGUGAUGUCCUUCCUGCCGGCUAUUAACCCGCAGGCCUUCUUCCUCACUGAAAGUGCUUUACAACCCGAAGGCCUUCUUCACACACGCGGCAUGGCUGGAUCAGGGUUGCCCCCAUUGUCCAAUAUUCCCCACUGCUGCCUCCCGUAGGAGUCUGGGCCGUGUCUCAGUCCCAGUGUGGCUGAUCAUCCUCUCAGACCAGCUACGGAUCGUCGCCUUGGUGAGCCGUUACCUCACCAACCAGCUAAUCCGACAUAGGCUCAUCCGAUAGCGCGAGGCCCGAAGGUCCCCCGCUUUCCCCCGUAGGGCGUAUGCGGUAUUAGCCUGGGUUUCCCCAGGUUAUCCCCCACUACCGGGCAGAUUCCUAUGCAUUACUCACCCGUCCGCCGCUCGCCACCAGGGAGCAAGCUCCCCGUGCUGCCGCUCGACUUGCAUGUGUUAGGCCUGCCGCCAGCGUUCAAUCUGAGCCAGUAGACUAACCUAACCUUCGUACGUACGUAGACGGGCCGGGUCGGUCGGACGGACGGGCGACUAGU
Molecule: ribosomal RNA, 559 nt
Filed under: uncultured bacterium
Lineage: Bacteria
Description: partial 16S ribosomal RNA
Source: RNAcentral